GUCCUGUUAGCUCAGUUGGUAAGAGCGCCGUGCUAAUGACGCGGAGGUCAUGAGUUCGAUCCUGUUACGGGCCA
Daphnia pulex (common water flea) is the source of this 74-nucleotide non-coding RNA. Lineage: Eukaryota; Metazoa; Arthropoda; Branchiopoda; Diplostraca; Daphniidae. The record is from Rfam.